CGCAGAUAAUUAAAAACCUACAGCAAUGUCAUAUUUUCUCUCCUCCCUCAUUUUGUUCCUUUCGCUCCAUCAAACAAAGGCGACGAAGGCGAUGAAGCUCCUCCGUAGAAACCGAUGAAAAUCGCAGGAUUUCUUGAAAUUCCUCCAUAAAAUCGAGCUUAUUCAAGUUUUAUUUGUCCAAUUCUGCUGCAAAUGAGAGAUUAUUUGAUUAAAAUCGAGCUUUAUCAAGUUUAAAUCUGGAUGCAAGUUAAUUAGGUUUUCUCCAAAUUGAUGAUUCAAGUAUUAUCAGGUUAUCUGCAUUGCUCACAAAGGGGUAUUUUUAUAAAAUACCCAAUCAAUAUGCUCCAAACGUCGUUUAAAACGUCUUAGGUAAGAGUACUUUGCAUAUGGUAGAUUGGUGUGUAACAGUGUAAAUACAAAGUUCGCCAAUUUACAAUGACUGAAGAACAACAAAGAAUUCAGGUAAUUACAUAUAUUAUGGUUUGGAUUGUGAUUUAAAGAUUGCUGCUACAUUUUGAAUAACUUGGAAUGAGUUAGAUUUAAUCUAUCACAUACUCUUGUCUCUGGAAAUGUAGGAUGAGAUGAACUUGUUGGGAAGAUUGUCACAUCCAAACUUGGCUCAUUCAUUAGGAUAUUGUUGGACUGAGGAGAAGUUUUAUUUAGUCUCUGAAUAUAUGCCCAAAGGAAGUUUGGAUAAUCAUAUACUCAACGGUAAAUAGUUAAUUGUUUGCUUUGGAGUUGGGCGUUGAACUGUUGAUCAGUGUGGUCUAACUAGAUUCUGGUAUUUCCUCCGCAGGUAGAGUUAGUUAUAAAAAAUUGUACUAGUUGGUAUAAGCAAGUAAUUGUACUAGUUGUUAUAAUGUUUACAUCAAUUACUUUGUUUUCUAGAAGUGUGAUAUAUUUUAUUGAAUUUUUGUAGGGUGAAAGUUCUGGAAAUCCUCCAAGUUUUGGUUCUGUUAGGUUAUGAUACAUAUGACAAUUCAUAAAUCAUGCGGAAAAACCAUAAAGCCAGGAAAGCAUAUUAUUUACACAUAAUCAUUUAGCAUAGUAUAGAUGCAUACAUGUUGUAGCGUGCCUUCCCUAGUUGCGCCCGAACCGAACAAGAACAAGUCUUUAGGACUCCAAAUGUCGUCCCUCCGUAGAUAGUCCACAGUACGUCCGGAUACGCCUCAAGUUAGACCAACUAGAAUCGCCCUUAAGGUGCUUAGGAUUUUCGGCUCUUAUUGCAAGUGUAUGGCUGAUUUAUAUUUCAAAAACUUACCCUUUGAAUACUUCAAUCGUACCCAUAAAUUGUGACCCUAGGCACUUAUUUAUAGGAGUAUGGAAAAGGAAUUGUAAUCCUACUAGGAUGUGGAUUUGUUAAUUAGAACUUUAUUAGGACUCUAAAUAACAAAGCAAAUCUAAUAGGAUUAGGAUUUUAAUCUUUGCACGAAUCCUAAUAGGAUUAGGAUUUCCCGCACACGCAUCGUACAAGCCAUGCACCCGCGCAGGCCUUGCGGCCCACGACAGGCGCACAGCCCAUGUGCAGUGCUGCGCGCGCGCGCGCCCUUGGCUGGGCCUGGCCUUGCGCUGGGCCUGGUCGAGGCGUGUGUUGCUGCGUGCGGCUCGCUGGGCGAUGGCCUGGCUUCGUGCUGGGCCUUCGUCUAGCGGGCCUCGUCCGAUGCUAAUUCGUACGAUACGCUUCCGAUUAAAUUCCCGAUUCCGGAAUUCAUUUCCGAUACGAACAAUAUUUAAUAUUUCCGAUUCCGGAAUUAAUUUCCGUUUCGAACAAAUAUUUAAUAUUUCCGUUUCCGUAAUUAUUUUCCGAUUCCGAUAAUAUUUUCCGAUUCUGACAAUAUUUCCGUUUCCGGCAAUAUUUCCGAUUCCAGCAAUAUUUCCAUUUCCGAUAAUAUUUUCCGAUACGUACCAUGUUUCCGUUUCCGGCAACAUCUACGACUUGGAUAAUAUUUAUAUUUCCGAUACGAUCUAUAUUUCCGGUUCCGGCAAUAUCAUCGUUUCCGGAGUAUUCAUUUCUUGCUUGUGACGAUCUCAGCUCCCACUGAAACCAAGAUCCGUCGAUUCCGAAUAUCCAUAGAUAGAGUAUUUAAUGCCAUUAAAUACUUGAUCCGUUUACGUACUAUUUGUGUGACCCUACGGGUUCAGUCAAGAGUAAGCUGUGGAUUAAUAUCAUUAAUUCCACUUGAACUGAAGCGACCUCUAGCUAGGCAUUCAGCUCACUUGAUCUCACUGAAUUAUUAACUUAUUAAUUAAUACUGAACCGCAUUUAUUAGACUUAACAUAGAAUGCAUACUUGGACCAAGGGCAUUAUUUCCUUCAGGUUCGACACUCACAAAACAGGAAUUAUUUUAGACAAGCCCGAAACUGUGGAAAGACAUGUAAGUUUAUCUUCCUUCCUCUCUGUUUCUUAAGUUCCAUAAGUGGGGUUUUCUUAAGUUCCAUAAGUGGAUUUUGAAACUUUGAAACCCUAUGGGAUAUUGCAACUAACUUGAUUUUUAAUUCUUAAAGGAAAUGAUCAAGAAGACAAUUCAAGAAAAUCCAGAAAUGGAGGGAAAACUUCAGGCCAUUCUAGAUGCUUUUAGAGAUAAGUAAGGUACAAAGAACUGUCACAUUAUAUAUAUGAGUUGUGGUACAUGUUUUCUGCUGUUCCUUUGUCUGCAACUGUAAAUUCAGGUUGGUGCUGCUAUGUGCUUCCUUGCUUCCUGCUGGGCUAAUGUGCCUUGCUUCUACUAUCUGCUGCAAACUUUGAAUUUUAUUUAAAUUGCAGUAAUCAGACCAAGUGUUAUUGUGGUCUUAUUUUUGAUUUCUUGGGCAUCAGACAAUUGGUUGUGGUAGUUUUAAUCAUGGGCCAUUGUUGUAGAUUUGGAUUUUGUGAAAUGAACUUGAUGGUACUUUUAUAA
This is a long non-coding RNA of Spinacia oleracea (spinach), 2897 nucleotides long. RefSeq lists it as uncharacterized. The record is from RefSeq and is a predicted model, not a curated record. Lineage: Eukaryota; Viridiplantae; Streptophyta; Magnoliopsida; Caryophyllales; Amaranthaceae. The transcript is spliced from 5 exons.